RNAcentral lists this ribosomal RNA (495 nucleotides) under uncultured bacterium. RNAcentral describes it as "partial 16S ribosomal RNA". It matches the Rfam family "Bacterial small subunit ribosomal RNA", at positions 28 to 507 of the family's 1533-position model. The record is from RNAcentral.
GACGAACGCUGGCGGCGUGCCUAAUACAUGCAAGUCGAACGCUGGAGGGGGAGCUUGCUUCUCUUGAUGUUUUGCGCACGGGUGAGUAUCGCGUAGGUAACCUGCCUGGUAGCGGGGGAUAACUAUUGGAAACGAUAGCUAAUACCGCAUAAGAGUAGAUGAUGCAUGACAUUUGCUUGAAAAGUGCAAUUGUAUCACUACUAGUUGGUCCUGCGUUGUAUUAGCUAAUUGGUGGGGUAACGGCUUACCAAGGCGACGAUACAUAGGCGACCUGAGAGGGGGAUCGGCCACACCGGGACUGAGACACGGCCCAGGACCCUACCGGAGGGCGCAGGAAGGGAUCUUUCGGAAUUGGCGGAAAUCUGACCGGACAACGGCGGCUUAGGGGAGGAGGUUCUUCGGUCGGAAAGCUCUGUUGUAAGGGGAGAACGAGUGUGGGAAUGGAAAGUGCACACUGUGACGGUAUCUAACCAGAAAGGGACGGCUAACUACGUG